GACCUGGCUCAGGAUGAACGCUGGCGGCGCGCCUAACACAUGCAAGUCGAACGGCACCCCUCUCCGGAGGGAAGCGAGUGGCGAACGGCUGAGUAACACGUGGAGAACCUGCCCCCUCCCCCGGGAUAGCCGCCCGAAAGGACGGGUAAUACCGGAUACCCCGGGGUGCCGCAUGGCACCCCGGCUAAAGCCCCGACGGGAGGGGAUGGCUCCGCGGCCCAUCAGGUAGACGGCGGGGUGACGGCCCACCGUGCCGACAACGGGUAGCCGGGUUGAGAGACCCG
This 284-nucleotide ribosomal RNA is filed under the name uncultured bacterium. RNAcentral's name for it is "partial 16S ribosomal RNA". It matches the Rfam family "Bacterial small subunit ribosomal RNA", at positions 16 to 303 of the family's 1533-position model. The record is from RNAcentral.